This 97-nucleotide signal recognition particle RNA is filed under the name Thermosynechococcaceae cyanobacterium MS004. RNAcentral describes it as "signal recognition particle sRNA small type". It matches the Rfam family "Bacterial small signal recognition particle RNA". From Rfam's summary of the family: The signal recognition particle (SRP) is a universally conserved ribonucleoprotein involved in the co-translational targeting of proteins to membranes. Archaeal SRP consists of a 7S RNA and homologues of the eukaryotic SRP19 and SRP54 proteins. In most bacteria, the SRP consists of a 4.5S RNA and the Ffh protein (a homologue of the eukaryotic SRP54 protein). The record is from RNAcentral. Lineage: Bacteria; Bacillati; Cyanobacteriota; Cyanophyceae; Acaryochloridales; Thermosynechococcaceae.
GACUCGGACCCAUGCGGUUGCAACGCCUUAAUCUUGUCAGGAUCGGAAGGUAGCAGCAAUACGGGAUGCUUGAAACAGGCGUGGACUCCGGGUCCCC